This 478-nucleotide long non-coding RNA is filed under the name Elaeis guineensis (African oil palm). Its description in RNAcentral is "long non-coding RNA (EGUI_LNC048937)". The record is from RNAcentral. Lineage: Eukaryota; Viridiplantae; Streptophyta; Magnoliopsida; Arecales; Arecaceae.
AGCAGUCAUAAGGAAGUCUACCUUCUCAUCGAUGACUGCUCGAUGCUGCAGUUGUGUGUCUAGUUCAUUGACCUGAGGUGCAUCGACAGUUCACCUUGAGUGUGUUAUAGUUUGACUACACCAUAACUCGGUCUCCUAGCCAUUCGGAACCCUGAGGUGUAUGUUGGCUGUAGCAUAUUCAUUGUAGGAACUAGAUCGCACCAAGAUGGGAUCUAUCAACCUCGGUAGAAGAGAAGAGUAGUCCUAUGGUGAUCGAAAGAUCGAGUCCUUAAGCCCAUGGCCAUGGCAGAGUGAAAUAAUGGAAAAAGAGUUUUCCAUUGGGGUUUCACAUUGGACUCAGAUCGAUCGAUUGAUUCAUAUGACUGAUGUUGGAUUUGACGAGUUCACCUUAACCCUAAUUCAGUUGGGACUCAUGAUAGAGGAACUCAAUCACACAGGUAGCUGCACUGAGAGGUUCAUCUUUAGUUCUGAUGGGUUG